GUGCUCACUUUAGCAGCACAUAUACUAAAGUUAGAACAAUACAGAGAAAAUUAGAAUGGCCUCUGCACAAAAAAGACAUGCAAAUUUGUGAAGCAUUCCAUAUUUUG
Cebus imitator (Panamanian white-faced capuchin) is the source of this 107-nucleotide small nuclear RNA. Lineage: Eukaryota; Metazoa; Chordata; Mammalia; Primates; Cebidae. The record is from Ensembl.